CUGCAACUCGCCUACACGAAGCUGGAAUCGCUAGUAAUCGCGGAUCAGCACGCCGCGGUGAAUACGUUCCCGGGCCUUGUACACACCGCCCGUCACACCAUGAGAGUCUGUAACACCCAAAGCCGGUGGGAUAACCUUUAUAGGAGUCAGCCGUCUAAGGUAGGACAGAUGAUUAGGGUGAAGUCGUAACAAGGUACC
Molecule: ribosomal RNA, 198 nt
Filed under: uncultured bacterium
Lineage: Bacteria
Description: partial 16S ribosomal RNA
Rfam family: Bacterial small subunit ribosomal RNA
Source: RNAcentral